Molecule: ribosomal RNA, 104 nt
Filed under: uncultured bacterium
Lineage: Bacteria
Description: partial 16S ribosomal RNA
Rfam family: Bacterial small subunit ribosomal RNA
Source: RNAcentral
CCUUGUACACACCGCCCGUCACACCAUGGGAGUGGGUUGCGAAAGAAGUAGGUAGCUUAACCUUCGGGAGGGCGCUUACCACUUUGUGAUUCAUGACUGGGGUG